This 1897-nucleotide small RNA is filed under the name Pan troglodytes (chimpanzee). Its description in RNAcentral is "processed transcript". The record is from RNAcentral. Lineage: Eukaryota; Metazoa; Chordata; Mammalia; Primates; Hominidae.
CCGGAGCAGAGCCACACUAAGUGAAGACAAGAAGCACUACAUCCUCAAUGGCUCCAAGGGUCCCGCUCUGUCACCCAGGCUGGAGUGCAGUGGCACGAUCUUGGCUCACUGCAGCCUCAACUUCCUGGGCUCAGGUCUGGAUUACUAAUGGAGGACUGGCCAAUAUUUUUACUGUCUUUGCAAAGACUGAGGUCGUUGAUUCUGAUGGAUCAGUGAAAGACAAAAUCACAGCAUUCAUAGUAGAAAGAGACUUUGGUGGAGUCACUAAUGGGAAACCCGAAGAUAAAUUAGGCAUUCGGGGCUCCAACACUUGUGAAGUCCAUUUUGAAAACACCAAGAUACCUGUGGAAAACAUCCUUGGAGAGGUCGGAGAUGGGUUUAAGGUGGCCAUGAACAUCCUCAACAGCGGCCGGUUCAGCAUGGGCAGCGUCGUGGCUGGGCUGCUCAAGAGAUUGAUUGGUAGAAAUGACUGCUGAGUACGCCUGCACAAGGAAACAGUUUAACAAGAGGCUCAGUGAAUUUGGAUUGAUUCAGUUUCUUGUGUUUUUUCUGAACACUCCAGGAGAAAUUUGCACUGAUGGCUCAGAAGGCUUACGUCAUGGAGAGUAUGACCUACCUCACAGCAGGGAUGCUGGACCAACCUGGCUUUCCCGACUGCUCCAUCGAGGCAGCCAUGGUGAAGGUGUUCAGCUCCGAGGCCGCCUGGCAGUGUGUGAGUGAGGCGCUGCAGAUCCUCGGGGGCUUGGGCUACACAAGGGACUAUCCGUACGAGCGCAUACUGCGUGACACCCGCAUCCUCCUCAUCUUCGAGGGAACCAAUGAGAUUCUCCGGAUGUACAUCGCCCUGACGGGUCUGCAGCAUGCCGGCCGCAUCCUGACUACCAGGAUCCAUGAGCUUAAACAGGCCAAAGUGAGCACAGUCAUGGAUACCGUUGGCCGGAGGCUUCGGGACUCCCUGGGCCGAACUGUGGACCUGGGGCUGACAGGCAACCAUGGAGUUGUGCACCCCAGUCUUGCGGACAGUGCCAACAAGUUUGAGGAGAACACCUACUGCUUCGGCCGGACCGUGGAGACACUGCUGCUCCGCUUUGGCAAGACCAUCAUGGAGGAGCAGCUGGUACUGAAGCGGGUGGCCAACAUCCUCAUCAACCUGUAUGGCAUGACGGCCGUGCUGUCGCGGGCCAGCCGCUCCAUCCGCAUUGGGCUCCGCAACCACGACCACGAGGUUCUCUUGGCCAACACCUUCUGCGUGGAAGCUUACUUGCAGAAUCUCUUCAGCCUCUCUCAGCUGGACAAGUAUGCUCCAGAAAACCUAGAUGAGCAGAUUAAGAAAGUGUCCCAGCAGAUCCUUGAGAAGCGAGCCUAUAUCUGUGCCCACCCUCUGGACAGGACAUGCUGAGGCAGGGGACAGUGUCCCCUGCUGCCGCCCGCCCCUACCCAUGGCCCGUUGCUGGAUGACUGUUACUCUUUUUUCAGAAGGUGUUGGGAUUAUCACAGGUUAAGCCUUUUGUUCCCCCAUCUGCACCUGAAGGGUUGUCGCCUGGCCUGGGAGAGCCUCUUCCAGGUUUUGACCUGCAGGCAGUGCUCUCUAAUAGGACCAUCACAGCUUCUGAACUGAGCUGGAGAGAGAGAAUGGAAUUGCUGACCCCUGGAACUGGCGGGUAUUCUGGUCAUUGAGGAGACACCAUAGUGGAAACUGGGGCUUAUGCUGCUGCCUCCAGGGCGUGAGGUGGGUGGGGACCUGUGUCAGGUGUGGAUAGCCAUUUCUGCUCAACCACACAUUCUCUAAGAAACAGCUUGAAAGCUCUGUCUGGGUCAUUCAUUUAAACUAGAAGCAGAGGCACUUAAAACAUGUACUAGGAACCAUUUAACAAAGAAUAUAAAAUGUCACAAUCUG